This 661-nucleotide ribosomal RNA is filed under the name Salmonella enterica. Its description in RNAcentral is "partial 23S ribosomal RNA". It matches the Rfam family "Bacterial large subunit ribosomal RNA", at positions 1 to 677 of the family's 2925-position model. Lineage: Bacteria; Pseudomonadati; Pseudomonadota; Gammaproteobacteria; Enterobacterales; Enterobacteriaceae. The record is from RNAcentral.
GGGUUGUGAGGUUAAGCGACUAAGCGUACACGGUGGAUGCCCUGGCAGUCAGAGGCGAUGAAGGACGUGCUAAUCUGCGAUAAGCGCCGGUAAGGUGAUAUGAACCGUUAUAACCGGCGAUUUCCGAAUGGGGAAACCCAGUGUGACUCGUCACACUAUCAUUAACUGAAUCCAUAGGUUAAUGAGGCGAACCGGGGGAACUGAAACAUCUAAGUACCCCGAGGAAAAGAAAUCAACCGAGAUUCCCCCAGUAGCGGCGAGCGAACGGGGAGGAGCCCAGAGCCUGAAUCAGCAUGUGUGUUAGUGGAAGCGUCUGGAAAGGCGCGCGAUACAGGGUGACAGCCCCGUACACAAAAGCGCAUAUGCUGUGAGCUCGAUGAGUAGGGCGGGACAUGUGGUAUCCUGUCUGAAUAUGGGGGGACCAUCCUCCAAGGCUAAAUACUCCUGACUGACCGAUAGUGAACCAGUACCGUGAGGGAAAGGCGAAAAGAACCCCGGCGAGGGGAGUGAAAAAGAACCUGAAACCGUGUACGUACAAGCAGUGGGAGCCCCACCACUAAGCCAGUGGUGAACUCCACAUACGCAUCCUUUGCUGAGGAUACGGUUAACGGAGCGAAAGCGACGUUCAACCGCAAAAGAAGCAGAGGGGGCUUAGUGGUGG